CAGUCGCCGCGGUAAUACGUAGGGUCCGAGCGUUGUCCGGAAUUAUUGGGCGUAAAGGGCUCGUAGGCGGUUUGUUGCGUCGGGAGUGAAAACCCAGGGCUUAACUUUGGGCUUGCUUUCGAUACGGGCAGACUUGAGGCAUUGAGGGGAGAACGGAAUUCCUGUUGUAGCGGUGAAAUGCGCAGAUAUCAGGAGGAACACCGGUGGCGAAGGCGGUUCUCUGGCAAUGUUCUGACGCUGAGGAGCGAAAGUGUGGGGAGCGAACAGGAUUAGAUACCCCGGUAGUCCCUGUCUCUUAUAC
Molecule: ribosomal RNA, 301 nt
Filed under: uncultured bacterium
Lineage: Bacteria
Description: partial 16S ribosomal RNA
Rfam family: Bacterial small subunit ribosomal RNA
Source: RNAcentral